RNAcentral lists this ribosomal RNA (274 nucleotides) under uncultured bacterium. Its description in RNAcentral is "partial 16S ribosomal RNA". It matches the Rfam family "Bacterial small subunit ribosomal RNA", at positions 523 to 796 of the family's 1533-position model. The record is from RNAcentral.
AUACGAAGGGGGCUAGCGUUGUUCGGAAUCACUGGGCGUAAAGCGCACGUAGGUGGACUAAUUAGUUGAGGGUGAAAUCCCGGGGCUUAACCUCGGAACUGCCUUCAAUACUGUUAGUCUUGAGUCCGAGAGAGGUGAGUGGAAUUCCUAGUGUAGAGGCGAAAUUCGUAGAUAUUAGGAAGAACACCAGUGGCGAAGGCGGCUCACUGGCUCGGUACUGACGCUGAGGUGCGAAAGCGUGGGGAGCAAACAGGAUUAGAAACCCUAGUAGUCC